UCUUAUUAAAACUCGGUAUUGUGAUUGCUGAUAGAUCGCAUCUCUGUUUCAUCCCUGUCUUCAAAAUGUACAGUGCGUUAUUAUGUCUUCAAAAUGUGCACAUUUCAGCCCUGUGGUAGGUACGUGCGUACAAUCUUGUUAAAAGCUAUUUGAACUUUUCCUUGAUCGAAUACCUUAAAAGACUGAUAAAGGUUCCUGAAGAAAUGUCUUCGACUGUGGACUGACUCGAAGAAACGGGUUUGCUCUAAACCGACUUCUCGUGCUAGUAACAACCUUAAACCACUGGCUUUUUGGAUCGCAACUCGCAUCUUCUUCUAAACAUUUGCAGCUUUUCGUCACAAUGUUGUUACUAUCCGAAUCCACAUCCAGACAAACUGAUUCUCCGUUCUUUGUUAUGGACGAGAGCUGCAUCUUUGACUCGGACAAAAGUUUCCAUCGUGAACAAUAAGAUUCUGAGAAAUACAGACGCAGCUUCACGGACUUUCCUUUCUCAUAAGCUUUUAAGCACAAGAUUUUUUCUUCUGCUAGUGACAAAACUCGUUGAGAAGAAAGUCUAAAGCUUUCUGAUCGAUCGCAAGAACCUAGCUUAAGUUGAAACAGCGACUUCCUCACGAUGCAAAGUCCAGUUGAAGGAUGGAAUAUUAUUUUCUUGGGGUGUGUUUCCAUUAGACCUGGUCCUGAAUAUUGCAAACUUGUUUUAUUAAUGACAACAAAAAACAUGAGUGCAACAAAGUUUCUAAACUAAACUUAGUUUUAUAUAUGUAACAUAUCUUUUUUUGAAACACUUUUUUUUUGAAACACAUGUAACAUAAUAUUUAACUUAUAUUUUUUAUAACUAGUGUCUAGUGUAAUAAAUAUAAUCAAGAAACAUGUAGCAACUAGCCAUUAUUUUCUACAACUUUUAAAUAAACAAAUCUACAACUCUUAACACAUGAAAAUAUUGUUUUUGAGAAAAAUGAGAAUUCGACUGGGAUAGACUGAUUUGAUAUGUCUGGCUUAGGCAUGUUCAUGAAAAUAAUAUAUAUAUAUAUAUAUAUAUAUAUAAAUAAUCGGGUUUCACAUAUAUAAUUUAUAACAAAACUUUCAAGAUCAACUUAGUUUUGUAUGGGUGUAAUAUAAUAUCUAAUUGUAUUUUUAACUCAGGGAAAAUGUCAAAAAUGUAAAUGUAUAAGAGCUACAAGUUCUAGUUGUGUACCUCUAAAAGGAGACUGUAUAGCAGAAAUCAUCUGCAGAAUUGUUGAGUUUCUUAUACUUGACCAACUCCAAUCCAAAACUCCAUAGGUUUCAUCAUAACCAAUAGUUUUCUCUCUUAUGUAAUAGCUUCCUGCAAGAGUCCAUAGCGCCCAAUCUAGAUCAAGAUCCGCUGCUAAAGCCAUAAAACAACUCAGAAACCUAUUGUCAUUCACGUUGUUUCCUCUUUGAUCAAUCCCAAACUCGCUCACAAACAAUACCGAAUGAAUGGUGAAGAAAUUUAUGGGAAGCAAGUUGUGAUCGAAUUUAGCCGACCAGGUGGGCUUAAGAACAAGUUCACGCCAUUUAGGCAACCGCAGUUACCGUUUCAGCCGCGACAAGUUCUAUUGACUCCUCCUUUGAAGCAGUCUGUUAUUCUGACCAAUAGUAAAAGCAAGAGUGUGAGCCCUAAUAAUGGAGUGGAUGUUGUUGAAGCUUCUAUGCGUUCGUUGUGUGACAUCGAUGAUGAAGCAGAACCUGAAACAAAGAGCAAGAACGUGGCUAAGUUGGGGAGGAAAAAGCAGAUGAAGAGCAUGGAACUAAGUCAGUUUCUUAUCAGUGAAGAAACAAUGAAUGAUCCAAGUUGCAGAGAUCCACGUACCACUUAGAUGAUAAAGAACAUACCAAACAAGUACAGGUUCGGCUUUAUAAUCUAAUUAUUCGUAUUUUAAAUUUUAUAGAUUUAAAGUUGGACGAUUUUUCAAAUUUUAGGACGGCUAAAGAUUUUAGAUCUUUCUAAUCUUUUUAUUAAAAUAUUCACAUGGAUUCGUGUGUUAAGAUGCUGUUUAUAUAUAUUCAAAGAUUUAUAUUCUAGAUAAAAUGCUCUUACGCUAUGUUCCAUCAAUUCAAGCUUUUAAUUAUCUUCGUGUUUGAUAUUACAAUUAGUCGGCUAACAUUUUCCUGGAUGCUCUUAUAUUUCAGAUUCCUAUAGGUUUUGUUUAUAUGAGAUUCCAAUUUAAUUUUAUAGUUAAGUGUUUUUUGGUUUUGUAUAGUCAAAAGCUGCUGUUGAAUAUGCUGGAUAAUCACUGCAUUCACAUCAACGAAGCUAUCACCGAGGAGGAGAGGGACGAACACAAAGCUCAUCAUGAUCAGCCAAUUUCUUCUUAUGAUUUCGUGUAUCUCCCGAUGGAUUUCAAGUAAUCAAACACCGGACUUUAUUGACUAUAUAGUAUUACUAUUAUAUAUAACUAAAAUCAUAACUCCUUUUUUUGGCUUUGAUAUUAGCAACAAGUGCAAUGUUGGUUAUGGAUUUGUGAACAUGACAUCCCCGGAGGCAGCUUGGAGGCUUUACAAGGCGUUUCAUCGCCAGCGUUGGGAGAUUUUUAAUUCGCAUAAGAUUUGCCAAAUCACAUAUGCGAGAGUUCAGGUAGACAUAGACAUUAGUGUUUUGAAAUCGCUUACCAAAGUAUAAGCUAAAUUUUUUAAUGUCUAUGAUAAUUGGGUGUCACAAUAUGAUUAUUUUGUUACUUUUUUCGUCCAAAAACAGGGUUUGGAGGAUCUAAAGGAACACUUCAGGAGCUCAAGGUUUCCGUGCGAGGCCGAACUGUACCUUCCGGUGGUUUUUUCGCCUCCACGAGACGGGAAGCAGUUAACGGAACCUGUUUCUAUCAACAUCAACGACUGCACCGGGCUCAAUAAUAUUCAUCAUCUCGAGCCUAUUGACGGUCCAGAUCACUCUGUGGGUGGUUCAUGUUGCGGUAGUGACAAUGAUAACAGUCAGGAAGAUGGAUUAUCCGGCAAUAACAUAGAUGGUGGACGGAGUUUCACGGUGGUAGGAGCGACAUCUUUCUAGAAGUUGUUUGUAAUGUAAACCAUAAAUAUAUGAAAGUGUAAUUAGACAAAUCAUGUUGUUUAUGUUUUAUGCGUAUUAUGUUGUCUCAUUCUAAAUUAUAUUUUCGACGCGAUUUACUUAUCAAGCAAAGUUCUGAAAAGUGAUAGUUUGGGUGAAUGUCUGAAUGAGCAAAGUAACAAUGAAUUCCAACUUGUUAUUUUUCUAAAACUUUUUGCAUGCGGAAUCGUCUAUAUUUUGUACUCAUAUUUUCUCUCUUGGAUAGUGUAAUGUAGGAUGGCAUAAUAUGACUAAAUUUUAUUAAAUUUAAGAAUAAAACUUGCAUCAAAUGAUGUCAUUCAAGCUAAUAAUAACAAUUACAACAUGUUGUUUACAAACACUCUAAUUUUUUGUUUGGUUACAAUUGAGAAUAUGUCCAUAACACAACCUAUUUGUUGAUAUUUAUUUUAUAAAAUGAAUUCAUGGUUAUAUAUCAAAUGAUGUUAAACUUCAUAAGCCUAUUGUUUCUUGUAGGACAAAUGAUUAAGAAAUUAAUAAUAUUAUGUCAUUAAAAUUCAUUAUUAUUAAAUGAUAAGGUGGAAAAUGGGUGGUAAACUAGAAAUGGUUGACCUAGGGUUAGAGUCCCUUUUCAGGCAAAGAUACCAGUCUUUGUUCUAGCGUUUAUAGCUGUCUUAUUCAGUGACCUGCUGAAAGGGACAGCAGAUAACUCUGUGCUAGUGAUGAUCACAAUCUGUAUUUCCCUCUGGUUCGUGGGGUUUGGACACGUGGUGAUAUCUUCACCGUUCGUAUUGUUCAUGGCAGAGUUGAUAGGGAUCGUUGACUACAACUUGUAAGUUGUGUAACCUUCUGAUGUAUAUUUGCUAAUUUUUUAUUUAUUUUAAAGCCUUUUUAGAGUGACGAAAAAGAACAAUGCAAUCCAAUUUUUUAUUUAUUUUAAAGCCUUCUAGUGCAUGCUAUUUUAGAUUUUAUUGGGUCUGUAAAUUUUUUAAAAGUCCAUCCUCUUAGAAUUGAAGAUCAUUUCAACUUAUCAGUGUGUUUGGUAUAAAUGUAUAGUAUUAGUAUGCCAGAUCCAACAACACAAAUUCAAAUUCAUGUAUCAUAGCAUGCACUAGCUAGCACUACCCAAUUUUCUGCUUGUUGUUUAUGGAACAAAUUAUAAUAAAGGCGGCCCACAAGAAAGAUCGAAAUUGAUUAUAAUCAUGUAACAAUAUGGGCCUAUAAUCAUGAGGCCCAUUAACGACAUUACCCUAAUCUCUCUCUCUCGCUAUAAGAGAGCAAGAUCCUCUAUAAACCCUAAUCAUUCAAGUCCCAGUCGUCAAGGCAAGCCGUCGGCAUUCUAUCUUCUUCCUCUUUCAUAUCUUAAUCUGUUUUCAAUAAUUUAUUUUGUUUUUUUUUUUGUGGUCAUUGAGAAUCACUCGCUUGCUUUCGAAAGGCGUUGCGCUCUUCGUGUUGGGAUUCAGUUUCCCUGAAGGGCGUGUCACCGGAAGCGUACAUUCAAAAUCUUCAAUUCGAUCUAUAGGGAUGUGAUAUUCGGAUUCGUUCGAACUAGCAAACCUCGAUUCCGAUGGCUUAUUUUUACCGAUUAGCCAUCGAUUCAUCGCGUUGAGAAAUUUCUAAUCUUGAAUUAAAAUUUUGAAAAUAAGGGAUGGGAUUUGCUUCAUAAUGGUGAACUCUCUUAGAUUAUAAAAGUGAGAGAUGUUCAAGUUUCCGGAGCAAAGAUCAAUUUGGCCAGAAUUAAACAGCUCUGUGUUUAUAUCUUCAAUGUUCACAGUGUUACCUGUCUUCUGGUAUAUUCCAUUUUUUACUACCUAAUCUCAUUCUCCCAAGGUUACCAAUGAGACUUUAAGUCAAAAAGGCCUGAUUAUUCAAUGCCCAUUUAUAGGCCUAAGCUUUUAAUUUUAAGGCCCAAAUUGGUCAAAUAAGGCCGGUUACAAUGUGAUACAGAUCAAAUGUUAUACAAAUCAAAAAUUGCAAGCAAAACGUACAUAUCAUAAUUAGGGAAAAAACUUGCAUCGUGUUCACGUAUCUUUUAAGAAACAUAAAAUAAAUACCUUCCAAUCCAAUAUUUUAUGUUUUUGAAAAUUCAAAAACAGAAACAAUAACCAGAGAGGAACAAUUACGCAGAAUUGUCUUAUUAAAACUCGGUAUUGUGAUUGCUGAUAGAUCGCAUCUCUGUUUCAUCCCUGUCUUCAAAAUGUACAGUGCGUUAUUAUGUCUUCAAAAUGUGCACAUUUCAGCCCUGUGGUAGGUACGUGCGUACAAUCUUGUUAAAAGCUAUUUGAACUUUUCCUUGAUCGAAUACCUUAAAAGACUGAUAAAGGUUCCUGAAGAAAUGUCUUCGACUGUGGACUGACUCGAAGAAACGGGUUUGC
RNAcentral lists this long non-coding RNA (5391 nucleotides) under Brassica napus (rape). RNAcentral's name for it is "long non-coding RNA (BNAP_LNC020448)". The stretch from base 4671 to 4814 matches the Rfam family "small nucleolar RNA snoR137". Lineage: Eukaryota; Viridiplantae; Streptophyta; Magnoliopsida; Brassicales; Brassicaceae. The record is from RNAcentral.